CUCCUACGGGAGGCAGCAGUGGGGAAUUUUUCGCAAUGGGGGCAACCCUGACGAAGCAAUGCCGCGUGAAUGAAGAAGGCCUUAGGAUUGUAAAAUUCUUUCACCGGGGACGAUAAUGACGGUACCCGGAGAAGAAGCCCCGGCUAACUUCGUGCCAGCAGCCGCGGUAAUACGAAGGGGGCUAGCGUUGCUCGGAAUUACUGGGCGUAAAGGGCGCGUAGGCGGACAUUUAAGUCAGGGGUGAAAUCCCAGAGCUCAACUCUGGAACUGCCUUUGAUACUGGGUGUCUUGAGUGUGAGAGAGGUAUGUGGAACUCCGAGUGUAGAGGUGAAAUUCGUAGAUAUUCGGAAGAACACCAGUGGCGAAGGCGACAUACUGGCUCAUUACUGACGCUGAGGCGCGAAAGCGUGGGGAGCAAACAGGAUUAGAUACCCUGGUAGUC
RNAcentral lists this ribosomal RNA (442 nucleotides) under uncultured bacterium. Its description in RNAcentral is "bacterial SSU rRNA". It matches the Rfam family "Bacterial small subunit ribosomal RNA", at positions 336 to 795 of the family's 1533-position model. The record is from RNAcentral.